Molecule: ribosomal RNA, 682 nt
Filed under: uncultured bacterium
Lineage: Bacteria
Description: bacterial SSU rRNA
Rfam family: Bacterial small subunit ribosomal RNA
Source: RNAcentral
ACAACCUGCCUUCGAGUGGGGAAUAACCUUCCGAAAGGAGGGCUAAUACCGCAUAACACCUCGGAGCACAAGUUCUGGGGUUGAAAAGAGCAAUUUGCUCGAAGAGGGGUCCGCGCCUGAUUAGCUAGUUGGUGAGGUAACGGCUCACCAAGGCUUCGAUCAGUAGCCGUCCUGAGAGGGAGCACGGCCACACUGGAACUGAGACACGGUCCAGACUCCUACGGGAGGCAGCAGUGGGGAAUUUUUGGCAAUGGGCGAAAGCCUGACCAAGCAACGCCGCGUGGGUGAUGAAGUAUCUUGGUACGUAAAACCCUUUCGGCAGGGACGAACCUAAUGACGGUACCUGCGGAAGAAGCCCCGGCUAACUCCGGGCCAGCAGCCGCGGUAAUACGGGGGGGGCAAGCGUUGUUCGGAAUUACUGGGCGUAAAGGGCGCGUAGGCGGUUGGAUAAGUCAGCUGUGAAAACCACGGGCUUAACUCGUGGCCUGCAGUUGAGACUGUCUGGCUUGAGUGUGGGAGAGGAGAGUGGAAUUCCUGGUGUAGCGGUGAAAUGCGUAGAUAUCAGGAGGAACACCGGUGGCGAAGGCGGCUCUCUGGACCACAACUGACGCUGAGGCGCGAAAGCUAGGGGAGCAAACAGGAUUAGAUACCCUGGUAGUCCUAGCUGUAAACGAUGGAUACU